CAAGUAUCCACAACUUAUCGGUUGUUCAAGCGAAGAGCCUCGAAGUGCAUGAGAGGGUCUGUAGCUCAGCUGGUUAGAGCACCGUCUUGAUAAGGCGGGGGUCGUUGGUUCGAACCCAACCAGACCCACCAAUGAAUUGGUUGCUCGAGACAGUAGGGGGCUGUAGCUCAGCUGGGAGAGCGGCGGCUUUGCAAGCCGUAGGUCGUCGGUUCGAUCCCGACCAGCUCCACCAGGUUUCGAGACGAGAGGUAAGACAGGUCGAUGCGCAGAUGUGGGUGGUUCGUCGCACUGUCUUACUUCUUGCUGGGUAGCGAAGGUUGCCCGAGUUUGAGGUUCGUUCUUUAACAAAGUGGAAGAAGUGUAGUGCGCAUCGAGCCGGUGCGUACUGCAAGUUGUGUGAUUGCAUUGAUCCGGUGCUGAGCUUGUCAGCGCAGCGCUGGGUCGCACAAACGAGUUCGUUCCUGUACGAGGGUCUUCGAGAUCGAAAGAUCGGAGAGGGUCCAAGGUUAUAGGAUCAAGCGACUAAGUGCAUGUG
RNAcentral lists this transfer RNA (535 nucleotides) under uncultured bacterium. RNAcentral's name for it is "partial 16S-23S ribosomal RNA intergenic spacer". The stretch from base 55 to 128 matches the Rfam family "tRNA". The record is from RNAcentral.